AACGAACGCUAUCGGUAUGCUUAACACAUGCAAGUCGGACGGACUAAUUAGGGCUUGCUCCAAUUAGUUAGUGGCAGACGGGUGAGUAACACGUGGGAAUCUGCCCAUCAGUACGGAAUAACUUUUAGAAAUAAAAGCUAAUACCGUAUAUUCUCUACAGAGGAAAGAUUUAUCGCUGAUGGAUGAGCCCGCGUCAGAUUAGGUAGUUGGUGAGGUAACGGCUCACCAAGCCGACGAUCUGUAGCUGGUCUGAGAGGAUGAUCAGCCACACUGGGACUGAGACGCGGCCCAGACUCCUACGGGAGGCAGCAGUGGGGAAUAUUGGACAAUGGGCGAAAGCCUGAUACAGCAAUACCGAGUGAGUGAUAAAGGCCCUAGGGUUGUAAAGCUCUUUUAGCAAGGAAGAUAAUGACGUUACUUGCAGAAAAAGCCCCGGCUAACUCCGUG
Molecule: ribosomal RNA, 447 nt
Filed under: uncultured bacterium
Lineage: Bacteria
Description: partial 16S ribosomal RNA
Rfam family: Bacterial small subunit ribosomal RNA
Source: RNAcentral